AUUGAACGCUGGCGGCAUGCCUUACACAUGCAAGUCGAACGGCAGCACGGGUGCUUGCACCUGGUGGCGAGUGGCGAACGGGUGAGUAAUACAUCGGAACGUACCUUAUCGUGGGGGAUAACGCAGCGAAAGCUGUGCUACUACCGCAUACGCCCUGGGGGGGAAAGCGGGGGAUCGAAAGACCUCGCGCGAUUAGAGCGGCCGAUGCCUGAUUAGCUUGUUGGUGGGGUAAAAGCCCACCAAGGCGACGAUCAGUAGCUGGUCUGAGAGGACGAUCAGCCACACUGGGACUGAGACACGGCCCAGACUCCUACGGGAGGCAGCAGUGGGGAAUUUUGGACAAUGGGGGCAACCCUGAUCCAGCAAUGCCGCGUGAGUGAAGAAGGCCUUCGGGUUGUAAAGCUCUUUUGUCAGGGAAGAAACACCGGCUCUAACACAGUCCGGGAAUGACGGUACCUGAAGAAUAAGCACCGGCUAACUACGUGCCAGCAGCCGCCGUAA
This 501-nucleotide ribosomal RNA is filed under the name uncultured bacterium. RNAcentral describes it as "partial 16S ribosomal RNA". It matches the Rfam family "Bacterial small subunit ribosomal RNA", at positions 29 to 523 of the family's 1533-position model. The record is from RNAcentral.